AUCUACAGCCACACUGCCCUGGUUGCACCCAAUCUCAUUUGAUCUCAGAAGUUAAGUGGAGCCAGGCCUGGUUAGCCCUUGGAUGAGAAAAUU
Molecule: ribosomal RNA, 93 nt
Filed under: Cricetulus griseus (Chinese hamster)
Lineage: Eukaryota; Metazoa; Chordata; Mammalia; Rodentia; Cricetidae
Source: RNAcentral